CGUGCCAGCAGCCGCGGUAAUACGGAAGGUCCGGGCGUUAUCCGGAUUUAUUGGGUUUAAAGGGAGCGUAGGCCGCAUGUCAAGCGUGUUGUGAAAUGCAGGUGCUCAACACCUGGAUUGCAGCGCGAACUGUCGUGCUUGAGUGUGCGCAACGUUGGCGGAAUUCGUCGUGUAGCGGUGAAAUGCUUAGAUAUGACGAGGAACCCCGAUUGCGAAGGCAGCUGACGGGAGCAUAACUGACGCUGAAGCUCGAAGGUGCGGGUAUCGAACAGGAUUAGAUACCCUGGUAGUCCGCACGGUAAACGAUGGAUGCCCGCCGUCCGCCCUUUUAUUGGGCGUGUGGCCAAGCGAAAGCAUUAAGCAUCCCACCUGGGGAGUACGCCGGCAACGGUGAAACUCAAAGGAAUUGACGGGGGCCCGCACAAGCGGAGGAACAUGUGGUUUAAUUCGAUGAUACGCGAGGAACCUUACCCGGGCUUGAA
Molecule: ribosomal RNA, 482 nt
Filed under: uncultured bacterium
Lineage: Bacteria
Description: bacterial SSU rRNA
Rfam family: Bacterial small subunit ribosomal RNA
Source: RNAcentral